RNAcentral lists this ribosomal RNA (412 nucleotides) under Oenococcus oeni. Its description in RNAcentral is "bacterial SSU rRNA". It matches the Rfam family "Bacterial small subunit ribosomal RNA", at positions 73 to 471 of the family's 1533-position model. The record is from RNAcentral. Lineage: Bacteria; Bacillati; Bacillota; Bacilli; Lactobacillales; Lactobacillaceae.
UCCUUCGGGUGAAGUGAGGCAAUGACUAGAGUGGCGAACUGGUGAGUAACACGUAAGAAACCUGCCCUUUAGUGGGGGAUAACAUUUGGAAACAGAUGCUAAUACCGCGUAACAACAAAUCACACAUGUGAUCUGUUUGAAAGGUCCUUUUGGAUCGCUAGAGGAUGGUCUUGCGGCGUAUUAGCUUGUUGGUAGGGUAGAAGCCUACCAAGGCAAUGAUGCGUAGCCGAGUUGAGAGACUGGCCGGCCACAUUGGGACUGAGACACUGCCCAAACUCCUACGGGAGGCUGCAGUAGGGAAUUUUCCGCAAUGCACGAAAGUGUGACGGAGCGACGCCGCGUGUGUGAUGAAGGCUUUCGGGUCGUAAAGCACUGUUGUAAGGGAAGAAUAACUGAAUUCAGAGAAAGUUUU